Molecule: small nuclear RNA, 104 nt
Filed under: Canis lupus familiaris (dog)
Lineage: Eukaryota; Metazoa; Chordata; Mammalia; Carnivora; Canidae
Source: RNAcentral
GCUUGCUUCAGCACACAUAUACUAAAAUUGGAACGAUACAAAGAAGAUUAGCAUGGCCCCUGUGCAAGGAAGACAUGCAAAUUUGUGAAGCGUUCCAUAUUUUG